Helianthus annuus (common sunflower) is the source of this 2662-nucleotide long non-coding RNA. RefSeq lists it as uncharacterized. The transcript has 2 exons. The record is from RefSeq and is a predicted model, not a curated record. NCBI's taxonomy places the organism in Eukaryota, Viridiplantae, Streptophyta, Magnoliopsida, Asterales, Asteraceae.
UUAAAAAAUUUUGGAUUAAAGUGGCAAAAGUGAGCAAACAUCAGGGACCAUUUUGGCUAUUAACUCUUUUAAUACUUAUUACCACGUUCAUUAAGAAAAACUCAACGUUAUACUAGAAUCUAAUUUAUGCACAACACACUUCGUAAUUCCAAAAUUCAAAAUUUAUUUUACAACAAUUCGAUACAUGCAUACUAAUACGUUAUACUUGGUUCGGGAUUGCUGGGAUAUUCUUAUGUGAUAAACUGGUCAUUAACUUCGCAAGAAGCCACACCUUAACAUAUAUAGUGCUUGUGAAGCACUACAGGAGUAACGCACCACCACAUGGAUUUGUGGUAAUGUUAAGUCAUUCAUUCAUAGUAGCGGGAGCGAUGGGUUGACAACUUGUCAUUAACUUCGUAAGAAGUCACACCUUAACAUGUAUAGUGCUUGUGUAGCACUAUAGGAGUAGCGCACCGCCACAUGGAUUUGUGGUCAUGUUAAGUCAUACAUUCAUUCUAGCGGGAACGAUGGUUUGACCUGUUUAUUCACAUGCCAGCAAUGCGUUAAUCUUGUUAACUAAGUAUGUCAUGUGGUUUAUUCAAAGAUUUACUCAUACCCAUACUUAAAAUCUAUACUCUCAUACUUAAAUACAAUCAUGCAUGCAUACUUAAAAUUCUAUACGCUAUCGUUAUCACUCGUAAUACGUUAAUAUACCCUGACCCGUACACUACUAGUACAAACUAUGCGGACCAUGCACAAACCAAAAUAAUCGUGGAUGCAUACGGGAUUAUAUUGGUAGGCGCAUGGAAACCAUAGUAGGUUCUACUGUGUACCAUGACACGGAACGUAACAUGACACAGAAUAACGAAACGGACGUAACAUUAUACGAACAUGGUGGAUACGCCGCUGGUACUUCCUAUAUAUAAGUGUUCCUACCAUACCCAAAACACAAUUCGAAAAUGCCAUCUUUCCCCAAGGUCUUCCUCUUGAAUAAAUUUCGGGAUGAAAUUUCCUAAAGUUGGGGAGACUGUAACCCCUCGUAUUUUCGUAUUUUUAUAUUUUUUUUUGGAAAAUUCAGGUUCGUUUUCUAUUUUUAGAAAAUCAGAUCGAAAAACGGAAUAAAAAACGACAAACUACGCAUUUUACGCGAUUUUAACGCAACCGACGAAUGAACGCGUUAAACAUCAAGUUCCGACGUAUUUUUUAGCGUUCGACUCAAAAAAUUCAUUAUACGACAUUUUACGACGAUCGGGAUUCAAAGACGGGCUUCGGGAAUAUUAUUGGGCCGCUCAAAACAUGCUAACGGGCCCUGGGCCGAAGCCCACUUAACAACCAACUAUAAAUAGCCAGCUUAUAACUUCAAAACCCUAAACUUGUCCUUCUCAUUCGACCGCACACAAACACAGUGUCCCUUCUCUCUCACAUCCACUCCGGUGACCGGAGUUCGUUAUUCCGGCGACUGCGCCGACCGAUGAUGGUUGCUCCUCCGACAAACCACCCCACAACAACCCUUAUCACCCUUGCUCCCCCUCCCUCACGCUCUCUAACCGGAAACCGGAGUGAAUUCCGGUGAGCCGCACAUCACAACACUCCUUGUUUCACACUCACAAAACCCCUCACUCUAUCGUGUCUGGCCGCUGAUGGUGGCGAUAGCGUCGUAUAAAGCGGCGACGGCAGUCGUUUCUUGUUCGUUCUCCGGCGAUGGCAGGGCAGUGGUGGUGUCUCGACGGAAUUGAGCGGCAACGAACGGUGAUUAACGAUAAGUAUCAGUCUCCUUUCUUAUCUUAUCUUAUCUUUUUUUUUUGUUGGAUCCGACUCGAAUCCACAUUUUUUUAUCGCUGUUCCAACCUGUGUUGAUGUUCUAGGUGAGGUUAUGUUGACGAUCAUGACAUGGAUGGUAGUUGAGGGUUAACUGUCAGGUUCAGUCUCGGUUCAGUCAGUUUGGGUCAAACCCGUUCAACUGGUCAAUCACGGUCAAAGCAGGUUAAUUGACAUAUUCGAGGCAUGUCGGUUCCCGCUCAGUCAACUCCGGUCAGCUGAGGUCAAACUCAGUCAACGCGAGCUCGGUAAACUUCUAAGGACGCAAAUUUUAUUAAGUUAUUUAUAUUGUUUGUAUAUGUUAUCUAGUUUAAAACCGAGUUCGAUAUGAUACACUUAUUGAUUAGUUAUGUUUUGACACAUCGAUGGAAAUUUUAUAUAUGUUUUGAUAUUGCCUUGAUUAUUGUUGCGUUCUGACAAAUAUAAGCGACAACUUGUGUUGUCGGGAUCCUCCACAAACAGAGGAAACUCUGUCCGAUUUUCGUGAAAAUAUAUAUUAUAGCCGAAACACCAAUAAAAACGUAUCGAAACUCUAAUGAAGUUUAUAAAGUAAAUAUAAACGAAUAUAUUAUUUUAUGUCGACACUUUUAUAACUUCCAACGCUCUAAUUCUUUACUUAUGCGAGGUCGAGACUCGUGUUCUUCAAGAACUGAAAGGUUACCUCGGUGUCCCAUCCUUCAACUCUUUAACUCUCCAUGAGACAGGAAUGCGUUGCGAAACUGAUUAUGACAGAUGAAUCCAGUAGGAUUGCCUAGAAACGCAUUUAAAUUUUAUUGCUCGUUGUUUUCUAAUUUACUUUCAAUCUUGUUGUAUUCUGUUUCCAAUACUUGUAAUAAUUCAUUAUCAAUGAAAUGAAAUUUAAAUA